Molecule: ribosomal RNA, 406 nt
Filed under: uncultured bacterium
Lineage: Bacteria
Description: partial 16S ribosomal RNA
Rfam family: Bacterial small subunit ribosomal RNA
Source: RNAcentral
AUUGAACGCUGGCGGCAGGCCUAACACAUGCAAGUCGAACGAGUGGCGGACGGGUGAGUAAUGUCUGGGACACUGCCCGAGGGAGGGGGAUAAAUACUGGAAACGGUAGCUAAUACCGCAUACCAUCGGAUGCCCCCAGAUGGGAUUAGCGAGUAGGUGGGGUAACGGCUCACCUAGGCGACGAUCCCUAGCUGGUCUGAGAGGAUGACCAGCCAGACUGGAACUGAGACACGGGCCAGACUCCUACGGUAGGCAGCAGUGGGGAAUAUUGCACAAUGGGCGCAAGCCUGAUGCAGCCAUGCCGCGUGUAUGAAGAAGGCCUUCGGGUUGUAAAGUACUUUCAGCGAGGAGGCGUUACUCGCAGAAGAAGCACCGGCUAACUCCGUGCCAGCAGCCGCGGUAAUUC